RNAcentral lists this long non-coding RNA (523 nucleotides) under Vitis vinifera (wine grape). RNAcentral describes it as "long non-coding RNA (VVIN_LNC004510)". Lineage: Eukaryota; Viridiplantae; Streptophyta; Magnoliopsida; Vitales; Vitaceae. The record is from RNAcentral.
AUCUCUGCCCCAUCUUCAUUGUCCUCUUUAGGAGAAUCAGGCCUUGGAAGAUACUGCAAAAGUUCCCGGAGGAGCAGCAACCACAUUGCAGGAAGGUGCACAGCUGGACGUAGCAGUGGUAAGAUUUCCAGCAUCAUACGUUGCACAGGUGGAACAUGCCCCUGGAGCAAAUCAAGGUUUUGAACUACCCUUUUUUAAUAAUAUAAAUAAAAAAAUCAGAAACAAAACACUUCAAAUCAUUGAAUAAGGUUGAGUGUUUCGAAUAUUGAAGGUGCACAGCUGGACGUAAUAGUGGUAAGCUUUCCAGCAUUGUACAUUGCACAGGUGGAACAUGCCACUGGAGCAAAUCAAAGCUUUGAACUUCCUUUUUUUAAAAAUAAAAAAUAAAAAAUAAUUAUUAUAAAAAACAAAAAACAAACACUUAAGUGUCCUUUUGGAUGCACUUCCUAUUUUCCGUUUUUAAAAAUAAAAAGUAGUAGUAACCUUCUAUAUAAAAUGUAAGAACUCUUAAAGGCUUAUAUUG